CUAAGAAUCUUGCGCAAUGGGCGAAAGCCUGACGCAGCAAUUCCGCGUGGGGGACGAAGGCCCUCGGGUCGUAAUCCCCUUUUGCGAGGGAAGAAGUUCUGACGGUACCUCGCGAAUAAGACACGGCUAACUACGUGCCAGCAGCCGCGGUAAUACGUAGGUGUCGAGCGUUGUCCGGAUUUAUUGGGCGUAAAGAGCCCGCAGGCGGCUUGCCAAGUUCGAGGUGAAAUCUCCCGGCUCAACCGGGAGGGUGCCGCGAAAACUGGCAGGCUUGAGGCAGGGAGAGGGAUGUGGAAUUCCCGGUGUAGUGGUGAAAUGCGUAGAUAUCGGGAGGAACACCAGUGGCGAAGGCGGCAUCCUGGCACUGUCCUGACGCUCAGGGGCGAAAGCGUGGGGAGC
This 399-nucleotide ribosomal RNA is filed under the name uncultured bacterium. RNAcentral describes it as "bacterial SSU rRNA". It matches the Rfam family "Bacterial small subunit ribosomal RNA", at positions 355 to 769 of the family's 1533-position model. The record is from RNAcentral.